This 301-nucleotide ribosomal RNA is filed under the name uncultured bacterium. RNAcentral describes it as "partial 16S ribosomal RNA". It matches the Rfam family "Bacterial small subunit ribosomal RNA", at positions 509 to 807 of the family's 1533-position model. The record is from RNAcentral.
CAGUCGCCGCGGUAAUACAGAGGGUGCAAGCGUUAAUCGGAAUUACUGGGCGUAAAGCGCGCGUAGGUGGUUUGUUAAGUUGAAUGUGAAAUCCCCGGGCUCAACCUGGGAACUGCAUCCAAAACUGGCAAGCUAGAGUAGGGCAGAGGGUGGUGGAAUUUCCUGUGUAGCGGUGAAAUGCGUAGAUAUAGGAAGGAACACCAGUGGCGAAGGCGACCACCUGGGCUCAUACUGACACUGAGGUGCGAAAGCGUGGGGAGCAAACAGGAUUAGAUACCCGGGUAGUCCCUGUCUCUUAUAC